This is a transfer RNA of Ovis aries (sheep), 73 nucleotides long. It matches the Rfam family "tRNA". From Rfam's summary of the family: Transfer RNA (tRNA) molecules are approximately 80 nucleotides in length. Their secondary structure includes four short double-helical elements and three loops (D, anti-codon, and T loops). NCBI's taxonomy places the organism in Eukaryota, Metazoa, Chordata, Mammalia, Artiodactyla, Bovidae. The record is from Rfam.
UCCCUGGUGGUCCAGUGGCUAAGACUCUGUCUUCUCAAGGCAGGGGGCCUGGGUUCGAUCCCUGGUCAGGGUA